AAGCUGAAUUUAAAUUUGAAGUUCAAACGGCUGCGAGAAGUGUUUGCGCUGGUGUGUGUUGUUUUUCUUUACGUGUAAUUCUCAGUCCUUGUAUAAAAGAAGAAUUACACACCAUGAACAAAGAGAAUACAGCAUCCCUUCUCCCUGUCAUGUCUGGGAAACGGGCUCACACCAACAGCUCCGAUGGGGAGCAACAGCAGCCUGCGCAGAAGAAAAUGCGCAGAGUAGAUGCAGAACCGCCUCAGAGGUUCAGACCUGCGGCUAGUGUUGUGCCCCCAAGACAUCCUGUGGCAGUCAAAG
Long non-coding RNA from Sinocyclocheilus grahami, 300 nucleotides. RefSeq lists it as uncharacterized. The transcript is spliced from 4 exons. The record is from RefSeq and is a predicted model, not a curated record. Lineage: Eukaryota; Metazoa; Chordata; Actinopteri; Cypriniformes; Cyprinidae.